GGAAUUUUGGACAAUGGGCGCAAGCCUGAUCCAGCAAUGCCGCGUGAGUGAAGAAGGCCUUCGGGUUGUAAAGCUCUUUUGUCAGGGAAGAAACGGGCCUUUCUAAUACAGGGGCCUAAUGACGGUACCUGAAGAAUAAGCACCGGCUAACUACGUGCCAGCAGCCGCGGUAAUACGUAGGGUGCAAGCGUUAAUCGGAAUUACUGGGCGUAAAGGGUGCGCAGGCGGUUUUGUAAGACUGUCGUGAAAUCCCCGGGCUCAACCUGGGAAUGGCGAUGGUGACUGCAAGGCUAGAGUUUGGCAGAGGGGGGUAGAAUUCCACGUGUAGCAGUGAAAUGCGUAGAUAUGUGGAGGAACACCGAUGGCGAAGGCAGCCCCCUGGGUCAAAACUGACGCUCAUGCACGAAAGCGUGGGGAGCAAACAGGAUUAGAUACCCCGG
This 440-nucleotide ribosomal RNA is filed under the name uncultured Duganella sp. RNAcentral describes it as "bacterial SSU rRNA". It matches the Rfam family "Bacterial small subunit ribosomal RNA", at positions 358 to 790 of the family's 1533-position model. Lineage: Bacteria; Pseudomonadati; Pseudomonadota; Betaproteobacteria; Burkholderiales; Oxalobacteraceae. The record is from RNAcentral.